Molecule: ribosomal RNA, 2924 nt
Filed under: Pluralibacter gergoviae
Lineage: Bacteria; Pseudomonadati; Pseudomonadota; Gammaproteobacteria; Enterobacterales; Enterobacteriaceae
Description: bacterial LSU rRNA
Rfam family: Bacterial large subunit ribosomal RNA
Source: RNAcentral
GGGUUGUGAGGUUAAGCGACUAAGCGUACACGGUGGAUGCCCUGGCAGUCAGAGGCGAUGAAGGACGUGCUAAUCUGCGAAAAGCGCCGGCGAGGUGAUAUGAACCUUUGACCCGGCGAUGUCCGAAUGGGGAAACCCAGUGCAAUUCGUUGCACUAUCGUUAACUGAAUACAUAGGUUAACGAGGCGAACCGGGGGAACUGAAACAUCUAAGUACCCCGAGGAAAAGAAAUCAACCGAGAUUCCCCCAGUAGCGGCGAGCGAACGGGGAGGAGCCCAGAGUCUGAAUCAGUUUGUGUGUUAGUGGAACGGUCUGGAAAGUCCGGCGAUACAGGGUGACAGCCCCGUACACGAAAGCACACAGGCUGUGAACUCGAAGAGUAGGGCGGGACACGUGGUAUCCUGUCUGAAUAUGGGGGACCAUCCUCCAAGGCUAAAUACUCCUGACUGACCGAUAGUGAACCAGUACCGUGAGGGAAAGGCGAAAAGAACCCCGGCGAGGGGAGUGAAAAAGAACCUGAAACCGUGUACGUACAAGCAGUGGGAGCAUCCUUCGGGGUGUGACUGCGUACCUUUUGUAUAAUGGGUCAGCGACUUAUAUUCUGUAGCAAGGUUAACCGAAUAGGGGAGCCGAAGGGAAACCGAGUCUUAACUGGGCGUUAAGUUGCAGGGUAUAGACCCGAAACCCGGUGAUCUAGCCAUGGGCAGGUUGAAGGUUGGGUAACACUAACUGGAGGACCGAACCGACUAAUGUUGAAAAAUUAGCGGAUGACCUGUGGCUGGGGGUGAAAGGCCAAUCAAACCGGGAGAUAGCUGGUUCUCCCCGAAAGCUAUUUAGGUAGCGCCUCGUGAACUCAUCUUCGGGGGUAGAGCACUGUUUCGGCUAGGGGGUCAUCCCGACUUACCAACCCGAUGCAAACUGCGAAUACCGAAGAAUGUUAUCACGGGAGACACACGGCGGGUGCUAACGUCCGUCGUGAAGAGGGAAACAACCCAGACCGCCAGCUAAGGUCCCAAAGUCAUGGUUAAGUGGGAAACGAUGUGGGAAGGCCCAGACAGCCAGGAUGUUGGCUUAGAAGCAGCCAUCAUUUAAAGAAAGCGUAAUAGCUCACUGGUCGAGUCGGCCUGCGCGGAAGAUGUAACGGGGCUAAACCAUGCACCGAAGCUGCGGCAGCGACACUGUGUGUUGUUGGGUAGGGGAGCGUUCUGUAAGCCGUUGAAGGUGUGCUGUGAGGCAUGCUGGAGGUAUCAGAAGUGCGAAUGCUGACAUAAGUAACGAUAAAGCGGGUGAAAAGCCCGCUCGCCGGAAGACCAAGGGUUCCUGUCCAACGUUAAUCGGGGCAGGGUGAGUCGACCCCUAAGGCGAGGCCGAAAGGCGUAGUCGAUGGGAAACAGGUUAAUAUUCCUGUACUUGGUGUUACUGCGAAGGGGGACGGAGAAGGCUAUGUUAGCCGGGCGACGGUUGUCCCGGUUUAAGCAUGUAGGCGGAGGUUCCAGGUAAAUCCGGUACCUUUUAACGCUGAGGUGUGAUGACGAGGCACUACGGUGCUGAAGUAACAAAUGCCCUGCUUCCAGGAAAAGCCUCUAAGCAUCAGGUAACACGAAAUCGUACCCCAAACCGACACAGGUGGUCAGGUAGAGAAUACCAAGGCGCUUGAGAGAACUCGGGUGAAGGAACUAGGCAAAAUGGUGCCGUAACUUCGGGAGAAGGCACGCUGACAUGUAGGUGAAGCCCCUGCGGGUGGAGCUGAAGUCAGUCGAAGAUACCAGCUGGCUGCAACUGUUUAUUAAAAACACAGCACUGUGCAAACACGAAAGUGGACGUAUACGGUGUGACGCCUGCCCGGUGCCGGAAGGUUAAUUGAUGGGGUUAUCCUUAGGGAGAAGCUCUUGAUCGAAGCCCCGGUAAACGGCGGCCGUAACUAUAACGGUCCUAAGGUAGCGAAAUUCCUUGUCGGGUAAGUUCCGACCUGCACGAAUGGCGUAAUGAUGGCCAGGCUGUCUCCACCCGAGACUCAGUGAAAUUGAACUCGCUGUGAAGAUGCAGUGUACCCGCGGCAAGACGGAAAGACCCCGUGAACCUUUACUAUAGCUUGACACUGAACAUUGAGCCUUGAUGUGUAGGAUAGGUGGGAGGCUUUGAAGCGUGGACGCCAGUCUGCGUGGAGCCAACCUUGAAAUACCACCCUUUAAUGUUUGAUGUUCUAACCUGGCGCCGUAAUCCGGCGUGGGGACAGUGUCUGGUGGGUAGUUUGACUGGGGCGGUCUCCUCCUAAAGAGUAACGGAGGAGCACGAAGGUUGGCUAAUCCUGGUCGGACAUCAGGAGGUUAGUGCAAUGGCAUAAGCCAGCUUGACUGCGAGCGUGACGGCGCGAGCAGGUGCGAAAGCAGGUCAUAGUGAUCCGGUGGUUCUGAAUGGAAGGGCCAUCGCUCAACGGAUAAAAGGUACUCCGGGGAUAACAGGCUGAUACCGCCCAAGAGUUCAUAUCGACGGCGGUGUUUGGCACCUCGAUGUCGGCUCAUCACAUCCUGGGGCUGAAGUAGGUCCCAAGGGUAUGGCUGUUCGCCAUUUAAAGUGGUACGCGAGCUGGGUUUAGAACGUCGUGAGACAGUUCGGUCCCUAUCUGCCGUGGGCGCUGGAGAAUUGAGGGGGGCUGCUCCUAGUACGAGAGGACCGGAGUGGACGCAUCACUGGUGUUCGGGUUGUCAUGCCAAUGGCAUUGCCCGGUAGCUACAUGCGGAAGAGAUAAGUGCUGAAAGCAUCUAAGCACGAAACUUGCCCCGAGAUGAGUUCUCCCUGAGACCCAGAGUCUCCUGAAGGAACGUUAAAGACUAUGACGUUGAUAGGCCGGGUGUGUAAGCGCAGCGAUGCGUUGAGCUAACCGGUACUAAUGAACCGUGAGGCUUAACCUUACAACGCCGAAG